Molecule: ribosomal RNA, 497 nt
Filed under: uncultured bacterium
Lineage: Bacteria
Description: partial 16S ribosomal RNA
Rfam family: Bacterial small subunit ribosomal RNA
Source: RNAcentral
GAUGAACGCUGGCGGCGUGCCUAAUACAUGCAAGUCGAGCGAACAGACGAGGAGCUUGCUCCUCUGACGUUAGCGGCGGACGGGUGAGUAACACGUGGAUAACCUACCUAUAAGACUGGGAUAACUUCGGGAAACCGGAGCUAAUACCGGAUAAUAUAUUGAACUGCAUGGUUCAAUAGUGAAAGACGGUUUUGCUGUCACUUAUAGAUGGAUCCGCGCCGCAUUAGCUAGUUGGUAAGGUAACGGCUUACCAAGGCAACGAUGCGUAGCCGACCUGAGAGGGUGAUCGGCCACACUGGAACUGAGACACGGUCCAGACUCCUACGGGAGGCAGCAGUAGGGAAUCUUCCGCAAUGGGCGAAAGCCUGACGGAGCAACGCCGCGUGAGUGAUGAAGGUCUUCGGAUCGUAAAACGCUGUUAUUAGGGAAGAACAAAUGUGUAAGUAACUAUGCACGUCUUGACGGUACCUAAUCAGAAAGCCACGGCUAACUACGUG